Non-coding RNA from Meleagris gallopavo (turkey), 682 nucleotides. The record is from RefSeq and is a predicted model, not a curated record. NCBI's taxonomy places the organism in Eukaryota, Metazoa, Chordata, Aves, Galliformes, Phasianidae.
GAAUGCUUCUGGAGCACUGCAUCCUGCUGCCAGGAUACCGUGAUGCUGAGGGCACAAACAAAUGAAUGCUGGUCACGAAAAGCACAAAUAAACACGCUGGUGAGAAGAAUGCGGUGUGCGUCGUGCACCGAAGUCACACUGUAACAGGAACAGAAGCAGCUGUGUUUGCAUUGCCCACUCACAGGGUUCCUGAGCCAACAGAGCAAACCUGAACCCAUCCUCCUGAAUGCCUGGACUUGCUGUGCCUUUCAUAUUCCAUCCUUCAGGACCGAUAGGCAGUGGUUCCACCUGAUUUUCAACUUGAGAGUUGGGUGCACACAGUUGUUACGAAUGCAAGUGCGGGGCAUUCAUUGGCAAGGCAAUAAAUUCAUUGGCAAGCAUAAUGACAGUGGUGUUUCUUGUAAGGCCACUUGUGAGUGGGCCCUUCAUGGAGGCUGUGGGGAUGCAGUCCCACCUGCACGUGCCGAGGCCUGGAGCUGUCUGUUGGCGUGGUUCCUCUGGCACCAGCUCCAGGAUGGGGGGCUGGAGCACAGCUGCCACACAAACACCUGAGGGAGGAAUCUGAUGUGAGCUCCACUCAAGAAAGACGUUGCAAAGCAAAACAAAGCCACUAAGUUGUCCACAGACAGUUCUUUGCAGCUGAUCGGUAGAGGAUUUCCUAUGUUUAACUCCAAUUAAAAGA